Molecule: transfer RNA, 76 nt
Filed under: Alphaproteobacteria bacterium
Lineage: Bacteria; Pseudomonadati; Pseudomonadota; Alphaproteobacteria
Description: tRNA-Lys
Rfam family: tRNA
About the family: Transfer RNA (tRNA) molecules are approximately 80 nucleotides in length. Their secondary structure includes four short double-helical elements and three loops (D, anti-codon, and T loops).
Source: RNAcentral
GGGCGGUUAGCUCAGUUGGUAGAGCAGAUGACUCUUAAUCAUCGGGUCGCAGGUUCGAAUCCUGCACCGCCCACCA